Molecule: ribosomal RNA, 383 nt
Filed under: Acanthamoeba lenticulata
Lineage: Eukaryota; Discosea; Longamoebia; Acanthamoebidae
Description: SSU rRNA
Rfam family: Eukaryotic small subunit ribosomal RNA
Source: RNAcentral
CGGGGCAGAUAUUUUUCCUGCCACCGAAUACAUUAGCAUGGGAUAAUGGAAUAGGACCCUGACCUCCUAUUUUCAGUUGGUUUUGUUUACAGCGAGGUUAUAUCAGGGUAAUGAUUAAUAGGGAUAGUUGGGGGCAUUAAUAUUUAAUUGUCAGAGGUGAAAUUCUUGGAUUUAUGAAAGAUUAACUUCUGCGAAAGCGUUUGCCAAGGAUGUUUUCAUUAAUCAAGAACGAAAGUUAGGGGAUCGAAGACGAUCAGAUACCGUCGUAGUCUUAACCAUAAACGAUGCCGACCAGCGAUUAGGAGACGUUGAAUACAAAACACCGCUGUUAAUCCUUUCGGGGGUUAAUAGUUGGUGAAUGACUCCCCUAGCAGCUUGUGAGA